GGGGUUGUGGCUCAGCGGUAGAGCAUUGGCCUAGCAUGCAUGUGGCCCUGGGUUCGAUCCUCAGCACCA
This 69-nucleotide transfer RNA is filed under the name Ictidomys tridecemlineatus (thirteen-lined ground squirrel). RNAcentral describes it as "Spermophilus tridecemlineatus (thirteen-lined ground squirrel) tRNA". It matches the Rfam family "tRNA". Rfam says of the family: Transfer RNA (tRNA) molecules are approximately 80 nucleotides in length. Lineage: Eukaryota; Metazoa; Chordata; Mammalia; Rodentia; Sciuridae. RNAcentral also lists the same sequence under 1 other name. The record is from Rfam by way of RNAcentral.